This 484-nucleotide ribosomal RNA is filed under the name uncultured bacterium. RNAcentral describes it as "partial 16S ribosomal RNA". It matches the Rfam family "Bacterial small subunit ribosomal RNA", at positions 30 to 507 of the family's 1533-position model. The record is from RNAcentral.
AUUGAACGCUGGCGGCAGGCCUAACACAUGCAAGUCGAGCGGAAGAACGGUGCUUGCUCCUGGAUUCCGCGUCGGACAGGUGUGUGAUGCACAUGAAAAUGCUUGGUAGUGGGGGAUAACGUCCUGAGACAGGCGCUAAUACCCCAUACGUGCUGCGGGAGAUAGUGGGGGAGCUUCGGACAUCACGCUCUCAGAUGAGCCUAGGUCGGAUUAGCUAGUUGGUGGGGUAAAGGCCUACUAAGGCGACGAUCCGUAACUGGUCUGAGAGGAUGAUCAGUCACACUGGAACUGAGACACGGUCCAGACUCCUACGGGAGGCAGCAGUGGGGAAUAUUGGACAAUGGGCGAAAGCCUGAUCCAGCCAUGCCGCGUGUGUGAAGAAGGUCUUCGGAUUGUAAAGCACUUUAAGUUGGGAAGAAAGGCAGUCACUUAAUACGGUGCUGGUUUGACGGUACCGGCAGAAUAAGCACCGGCUAACUACGUG